GGGUUACGUAGGUUGGUCAUGCCUCAGGUAUGUACUGAUCUCACUCGAUUCCUCCUUCCUGACGAACCGUAAUGCCAUUAAUUUGGUGUUGCGGGGAGACUGGACUGUUACUUUGAAAAAAUUAGAGUGUUUAAAGCAGGCUAACGCUUGAAUACAUUAGCAUGGAAUAAUGAAAUAGGACGUUCGAUCCUAUUUUGUUGGUUUCUAGGAUUGACGUAAUGAUUAAUAGGGAUAGUUGG
Molecule: ribosomal RNA, 239 nt
Filed under: uncultured Glomeromycotina
Lineage: Eukaryota; Fungi; Glomeromycota
Description: partial 18S ribosomal RNA
Rfam family: Eukaryotic small subunit ribosomal RNA (bases 29-239)
Source: RNAcentral